RNAcentral lists this ribosomal RNA (235 nucleotides) under uncultured bacterium. RNAcentral's name for it is "partial 16S ribosomal RNA". It matches the Rfam family "Bacterial small subunit ribosomal RNA", at positions 99 to 334 of the family's 1533-position model. The record is from RNAcentral.
CGGACGGGUGAGUAACGCGUGGGUAACCUGCCUCAUACAGGGGGAUAACAGUUGGAAACGACUGCUAAUACCGCAUAAGCGCACAGGAUCGCAUGAUCCGGUGUGAAAAACUCCGGUGGUAUGAGAUGGACCCGCGUCUGAUUAGCCAGUUGGCAGGGUAACGGCCUACCAAAGCGACGAUCAGUAGCCGACCUGAGAGGGUGACCGGCCACAUUGGGACUGAGACACGGUCCAA